GUUACUCCGAUGGCUUAGUGGUUUGAGCGUCCUCCUCGAAUUUGGGGAUCGCAGGUUCGAACCACUGCCGAGUCAUAAAACA
Potamilus streckersoni is the source of this 82-nucleotide non-coding RNA. Lineage: Eukaryota; Metazoa; Mollusca; Bivalvia; Unionida; Unionidae. The record is from the annotation of a GenBank genome assembly.